RNAcentral lists this transfer-messenger RNA (349 nucleotides) under Deltaproteobacteria bacterium RBG_16_54_11. It matches the Rfam family "transfer-messenger RNA". From Rfam's summary of the family: Bacterial tmRNA, also known as 10Sa RNA or SsrA, is named for its dual tRNA and mRNA-like properties. Its role is to liberate the mRNA from a stalled ribosome. RNAcentral also lists the same sequence under 1 other name. Lineage: Bacteria; Deltaproteobacteria. The record is from RNAcentral.
GGGGGCGAAAUGGGUUCGACGGGGGUAAGAGAGAUAAGGGUUGCAUGCCGAGGUCCCAACCCUCGAAAAAAAAUGGGAACUACUAUAACUGCCAACUAUGACUACGCUUUAGCCGCCUAACGUGCGGUUAACGCUCUCCCGAUCUCGCCUGCAGGCUUGGGAAGGGCGUCAGAAAUGCGGGCUUAGUCCCCUCUGAUGCUUAUAAGGAGGGGGUGAAUUCGCAUAAGCUAGCCCGUGGGGAUCCUGCCUGGAGGAGCUCCACGGCGCGAAACUAAAAUCCGGGAUACGCAUGUAGAUACCCUUAUGGAUCUACUUUCGGACGCGGGUUCGAUUCCCGCCGCCUCCACCA